Molecule: non-coding RNA, 2355 nt
Organism: Struthio camelus australis
Lineage: Eukaryota; Metazoa; Chordata; Aves; Struthioniformes; Struthionidae
Source: RefSeq, a predicted model, not a curated record
GAGGCUGGCGGGCCCCGGAGAGGCAUGUUGGGCCACGGCGUUGGCGGGACGACGGCUCCUGCUGUGCAGGCAUGUCCGAGGGUGCUGGGCAAUCCACCGAAGGAGGGCAUCGUAAAGAGAAGAAGCCUAGACCUAGCGAUCCAGUUGUUCACUUUGGUCAUUGCUUCUGAGGCAAGCAUCCAAUUAUAGGAGGACUCUACGAGGUGUAUUAAAAAGGUAAUAGGUUCGAAACAGAGGCAAGCAUGUUAAAUGCUAUCAUCCUUCCAUGCAGUUAAAAAUUGAGAGAAUUGUGGGUUAGGCAUGUGUAUACAAGGGUUUGAGAAAGGAUACUGGACAGUACGGUAAUACUGAACCAGAAUAAAUGUAAUGUUUCAUGGCAGAUGGUGUAGGUAACUAUUAGGUGAUGUGCCUGCCUGUCUCAUAACUUAGCUCUAACUGCUGUAUGUAAUGCUUCCAGACAGUUUACCCUGUAAUGUAUGAUGGCAAGUGCUGUGCUAAGACCUUUCCUUUAAGGAAAAGAAAAAAGAAAAAGAACAUGCAUAAGUCUAGAGCCUUUAAUUGAAAGGAACAUGCAAAUUUAUCCGUUUGUUAUAGAGAUGGAAACAAUGCUAGCAAAUGCUGACAAAGAGAAAAGAUAGAUGAGCAGUUUUUUGUGAUUAAUACGUAAGGGACCAGAUGAAACAAGGAAGCAAAAAUGCAGCAGACCCUUGAUGUCACCAGAAAUUGCUACAGCAGGAGGUGUUCUGGCACAGGUAACUAGGGUAACUGCUGAUAAUGAGCGUUUGUUAUUUCAGUCUCCCAGAGGCAGGACUGAGGACUAAAUAAGCCAUUUCUACCAUGUGGAUAUUGUUAACUGUAUCUGGCUUAGCUGAGUUUUGCUUUGGUCAUUCCUAUUUUGUUUUGUUAUCAUAUAUGCAUGCAUAAAAAGGGAAUGACAUAAUACUUACUUUUUAGAUUAAUUGCCACAGCUGAUGUUGUGGAAACAGUUUGUCCUACUGUCAUUUAAUUAAAUAAUUAAUUUUGCUGUUAUAUGUGCGUGAGACUCUGCUCCUCCUAAAACUAGGGUCGAGCUGUUUCCACAACAGGUGGCCGGGUGCCUGAGCGAGUCUGACUGUACGUGAGGGAUGCUGUGACAUCCUUGCAAUGAAACGGAGUCAGAGAGAAUGACUGAAGCAGUGUAGAGGGUCAGUCAUAAUUGUGGGAACCCUUACAGGCCUUGGACUAGGAAGUAGUUCUAGGAGGGCUGUGCAGUUGCCUGGCCUCUCAGUAACUGUUCUGGCCUCUUGGCAGGUGCUGAAGCGUGGUCUGGCAGUCGAAGGAACAGUGUCAAAGCUGGGAGCUCUGCAGAGACCUGCAGCUAGCCGUGGAGGACAAGCUCUGACUUGCAGCGUGGACACAGCUAAGUCCUGGGGCUGCAUUUUAUGUGAGCAGGGCUGGGAGGUGGAAGGCAGCUGUCUCCGAGGUGGUUACUGGUGUCACUGGCUGAGGAUGUUUGCCCAUGGAGCUGAGGGGACCAAAAAUAUUAGUUGUCUGUAACGGAGAUGAAUUAGUGCUUGCAGUGUUUCAGAUAGGUUCACUGGAAGCGCAGCUUAGUGCAGGCCUGUGGAGUGGUUCUCGCAUGUGGUCACGUUUGAACGGUGGCUAAAACCACCAUUUUACAGCAUAAACAGCAACUGCAUGAUUCUGGUGUGCAUCUUCCUGUUCUGCUGCACUUCUAAAUGAAGGGGAAACUUCUUAAGCUGCGGGCAGAACGCCUUGGCUUCUCUUCACUGGUCUCAUGCUUAUGUGUGCUUUGGUGUUUCUUGCUUAAAGCUGAGGGUUAGAAGUUUUUCACUUAAGGUUUACUGUUUAGUUUGUUGUUCAGGGUCUGUCACUCAAGGGUUAUGGUUUGUUACUUUAUUUUGUGGGGCUGUCUUUAUCAGUCAGGGUUUACAGUUUACUAACGUAGCGAUCAGGGCGCAGGAUUUAAAAUCCAGCCUCAUCCGUAAAUUUUAAAGCCUCUGCAACCAUUCAGGUUCCAAGAUUUGCAGUUUGUCACUUAGGGUUCAGGGCUUACGCCUUGCUGAUAAACGACAAGGGCUGAAUCCUUAGGUAAUAAACUGAAAGCCCUGAAGCCUAAGCAGCAGGCUGCGAACCUUUCUUUGGGGCUUGUAACCUUCCCCUGCACCCAGCGCUCAGCUUUGUGCACUGACCUGACGUUUGGAUUUGAUACAGUGGAGGCGUAACACAGAGUGGUGGUGUGACAGGUGAGUUGAGAGCUGUGAAAGUGUCCUGCAGGGCUCCAGUCUGGGGUAGGGCAGUAGUGCAGACAGGCAAGAUCAGAGAUCAGGCAUUUUCCUCUCACCUGUCAGAGCC